GUGUCGAAAUUGACAUUAACCUACAUGGAGCUUCAUUCUUACCCACUGGCUCUCCAUUAGAGUACAUUGGAGAUGGAGGAUGUGUUGUGUGGAUGAGGGGUCGAAAUGACGACUGUUGGCGGACUAAGAGGAAGAAGACGACCAUCAUCACUGCUUCAGAGUCAUAGCACCGGUCUUUAAGGCAUGACUAUUCAAUUAAGGAAGUGCAGUUGGCUAAAUAAUCCUCCUCUUGCUUGUGCUAAUGGUGAUUACUGAACUAAUGCCUUCCCCAACACAGCGAGCAAUCUCUUCUAUUUUAUUUUGGGUUUUUUUUUCCCCUUAAUAUGAAUCAAACAUUUGAUUUUUAAUGUUUUCUUUUCUAUUUCACAAAUGGCUACAUAACGUUUGGCU
Hevea brasiliensis (rubber tree) is the source of this 390-nucleotide long non-coding RNA. RefSeq lists it as uncharacterized. The record is from RefSeq and is a predicted model, not a curated record. The transcript is spliced from 2 exons. NCBI's taxonomy places the organism in Eukaryota, Viridiplantae, Streptophyta, Magnoliopsida, Malpighiales, Euphorbiaceae.